RNAcentral lists this long non-coding RNA (418 nucleotides) under Gallus gallus (chicken). Its description in RNAcentral is "lncRNA (ENSGALG00010026225.1)". Lineage: Eukaryota; Metazoa; Chordata; Aves; Galliformes; Phasianidae. The record is from RNAcentral.
CAAAUACUGCUCCAGGGAUACCGUCAGACCACUGAAAAACAGCAGAUGGAUUACACUGGUGUAUCUGCCCAGACUAGCCCAGGAUCCUGGUUCCUGUCUUGGAAAGUGAAAGAUGCAAGGAGUCCCUGGGAAGAGGCAUUUCAUUAAGGAUGGACAUGGGGUCAUGAUGAAGAAGAGGGCCAGAAGAAGUCAUAGCAAGGGCAUCUCCCACCGAUGGAACAAGAACCAAGAGAUGAAGCACAUCAAAAACAAAGGCAGAAAUGGAGAAACAGAUUCCUGACAGAUCUUGUUACGUGUUUUGCUGCUUUUCUGUUUGAACAAAGUCGUGAUGAGCCUCUCGAGUCUGAGAGGAACCAGGAAAGGAAAAUGGGAGUGUGCAGCUGCCUCAAGGAGGAGGCCAGAUGAGGACGGGCAGGAG